ACUGGGGUUGGCCGAGUGGUUAAAGCGUUGGACUUAAGUUCCAAUGGACAAGUCGUCCGCGUGGGGUUCGUACCCCACACCCAGUA
Non-coding RNA from Ciona savignyi (Pacific transparent sea squirt), 86 nucleotides. NCBI's taxonomy places the organism in Eukaryota, Metazoa, Chordata, Ascidiacea, Phlebobranchia, Cionidae. The record is from Rfam.